GACGAACGCUGGCGGCGUGCUUAACACAUGCAAGUCGAGCGGUAAGGCCCUUUCGGGGGUACACGAGCGGCGAACGGGUGAAUAACACGUGGGUGACCUGCCCUCAGCUCUGGGAUAAGCCUGGGAAACUGGGUCUAAUACCGGAUAUGACCACAUGUCGCAUGGUGUGUGGUGGAAAGUUUUUCGGCUGGGGAUGGGCCCGCGGCCUAUCAGCUUGUGGUGGGGUGAUGGCCUACCAAGGCGACGACGGGUAGCCGGCCUGAGAGGGCGACCGGCCACACUGGGACUGAGACACGGCCCAGACUCCUACGGGA
RNAcentral lists this ribosomal RNA (314 nucleotides) under uncultured bacterium. Its description in RNAcentral is "bacterial SSU rRNA". It matches the Rfam family "Bacterial small subunit ribosomal RNA", at positions 28 to 346 of the family's 1533-position model. The record is from RNAcentral.